AGGGGCAUAGGUUUAACGGCUAGACCAGCGGUCUCCAAAACCGCGAGUGGGGGUUCGAAUCCCUCUGCCCCUGCCA
RNAcentral lists this transfer RNA (76 nucleotides) under Acidobacteriota bacterium. RNAcentral's name for it is "Acidobacteria bacterium tRNA-Trp". It matches the Rfam family "tRNA". Rfam says of the family: Transfer RNA (tRNA) molecules are approximately 80 nucleotides in length. Their secondary structure includes four short double-helical elements and three loops (D, anti-codon, and T loops). Further hydrogen bonds mediate the characteristic L-shaped molecular structure. tRNAs have two regions of fundamental functional importance: the anti-codon, which is responsible for specific mRNA codon recognition, and the 3' end, to which the tRNAs corresponding amino acid is attached (by aminoacyl-tRNA synthetases). tRNAs cope with the degeneracy of the genetic code in two manners: having more than one tRNA (with a specific anti-codon) for a particular amino acid; and 'wobble' base-pairing, i.e. permitting non-standard base-pairing at the 3rd anti-codon position. Lineage: Bacteria; Pseudomonadati; Acidobacteriota. RNAcentral also lists the same sequence under 3 other names. The record is from RNAcentral.